Molecule: ribosomal RNA, 434 nt
Filed under: uncultured bacterium
Lineage: Bacteria
Description: partial 16S ribosomal RNA
Rfam family: Bacterial small subunit ribosomal RNA
Source: RNAcentral
AGCGAACGCUGGCGGCAGGCCUAACACAUGCAAGUCGAACGAACCUAUCGGGGUUAGUUGCGGACGGGGGUGGAACACGUGGGAACGUGCCUUUAGGUUCGGAAUAACUCAUGGUAACGUGUGCUAAUACCGGAAGAGCCCUGCGGGGGAAGGAUUAGUCGUCGUUAGGGCGGCCCGCGUCUGUUUAGCUAGGCGGUUGUGGUAAUGGCGCAGCAAGGCGACCUUCAUGAGCUGGUCUGAGAGGACGAUCCGCCACAUUGGGACUGGGACGCGGCCCAGACUCCUACGGGAGGCAGCAGUGGGGAAUCUUGCGCAAUGGGCGAAAGCCUGACGCAGCCAUGCCGCGUGAAUGAUGAAGGUCUUAGGAUUGUAAAAUUCUUUAACCGGCGACGAUAAUGACGGUACCCGGAGAAGAAGCCCCGGCUAACUUCGUG